AGCCCUAACAACAUUUUGUGUCAACAGAACAGUACUUUGUUGCAGCAGCAGAGCCAGGAAUCUAAACUAGGAUGGUGGUAACCUCAGAAAAUUUAGUUCAUCAAAAUAAUAUAUAUUCGGACAAAAUUCUUUGAAAUCCUAAUCCAGUUAGCGAUAUAAAUAUCACCACAACAAUGAAAAACUCAAGAAUUAGCCUUGGACAAAGUUAAGAGAACUUAAUACUAUCCAAAACAAGCUAGCACUUAGUCGCAUAUCCUAGAAGCUCUGCCAAAGGUACGAUGCCCACUAAGCUGAAGAAGAAGACCCAUCCCAGCUCAAGUCCCCAGAAGCUGCACCAGGCUCGGUUUCUUCUUUGUUGACACCGACAAGACCCUCCAAGACCGAGCGUACAAGCUCAUCCACUACCCCAGCUCCGAAACUUGGUGGUAACAUCACUCUGAUUUCCGAGGCUAGAUCAAGGAGGUCUGUGAGAAGUGACUCCACCGCUUCUUCUGAUGUUUCUAGACCAACAUGCCGGAAGAAGUUCAACGUUUUUGCCUCGCCAUCUUACUGGCUGCAGGAGAUUAAGCUGUCUGAGGCUGCUGGCAAGCACUCGACUUCACUCAGGUUUUUCAAACUAGCCAUGGAGGCUGAAUGAAGUUGGAGGAGCAAGCUGAGUUGCAAGCAGCGGCGGCGGACUCAGACCAACGCCCCGUCGUGCCCUCGUCCACUUCAAGUCCGAGACUUCCUGCAUGCACCACGAACUCCACUCCUUCGUCUUCUCCCUCCACGGCUGCGUCAAGCUCCAAGCUCCUCUGCUACAUCAUCUCCGUCCUGUGGCUAGGAAUUGGUAGAUCUCGCCGGAGCUCUAGUGAUCUUGUGGAUCUCGAGACAGCUGCUCUUCUGAGCUCAGCCCUCCUCCUCAGCAUCCACCAACUACCUCAAGCUUCAUCAUGCUUCUCCGCCAUCCUCAACACCAUUGCACACCCAGCUGCAAAUCCAAACGACGUCGCAGACACCGGCACCGCCACAGGUCUCCCGCAUCUCCUCCUUGCUGUUGAAGUAGACCAAGUCACCAUCUCCUCCGCUUACGCCGUUCGCAGUGAUCAACCUGCUGUCAACUCCUACUCCCCAACCGCAUCGGCAACAUCAGCACGGGCAGCGCGCUUCUUGACUCAAAGCUCAGCAACGGCAGUGCAACAGCCCUCGUACAGCAGCCCUCAUGCAGCAGCCCUCAUGCAGCAGCAAACGGUGGCAAAAUACAGCAACGUCGGAAAACUGUGACCAAAAGGCAUUCCAUAGCAAAAUCCCGUCGCAGUUUUUUGCACAGCAUCACACGGCAAUGUCACCACCGAGGAAAACUGUGACCAAAAGGCAUUACACAACGAAAUCCUGCCGCAAUCUUUUGCACAUUGCCACACGGUAAAAAAGUGACGCACUGCAAAGCUCCAAGCACCAAGACUCACGGCAACGUCACCACCAU
Molecule: long non-coding RNA, 1462 nt
Filed under: Malus domestica (apple)
Lineage: Eukaryota; Viridiplantae; Streptophyta; Magnoliopsida; Rosales; Rosaceae
Description: long non-coding RNA (MDOM_LNC008066)
Source: RNAcentral